This is an RNA transcript of Olea europaea var. sylvestris, 1476 nucleotides long. It is a transcript of the gene named 5'-nucleotidase SurE-like, with no coding region annotated. The record is from RefSeq and is a predicted model, not a curated record. Lineage: Eukaryota; Viridiplantae; Streptophyta; Magnoliopsida; Lamiales; Oleaceae. The transcript has 11 exons.
GGGGCUUGAAUUGCUUUUCAGCAAAAAAGAAGUUUCAUUUUGAAAGGAAAAUGGAGAAAAAUGGCGUAAUGCUCUCCGGCGAUCGGCCGACGGUGAUGGUGACUAACGACGAUGGAAUCGAUGCCCCAGGGUUGCGUGCUCUCGUCCAUGUCCUCCUCUCCUUUAACCGCUUUAAUAUCCUUGUCUGUGCCCCUGACUCCGAAAAGUCGGCUGUUAGUCAUAGCAUUACUUGGCGAAGUGCUGUUUCAGUUAAGCCGGUGGAAAUCAGUGGAGCUACUUCAUUUGCAGUUUCUGGAACUCCCGCUGACUGUACAUCUUUGGGAAUUUCAAAAGCGCUCUUCCCUUCAAUACCUGAUCUGGUGAUUAGUGGCAUCAAUAUGGGUAGUAACUGUGGUUAUCAUGUGUUAUAUUCAGGGACGGUAGCUGGUGCUCGGGAAGCUUUUUUCAAUGGUGUACCAUCUGUAUCUAUAUCAUAUGACUGGGCUGGAGGGAGGAGUAAUGUCAAUGACUUCAUACUGGCUGCAGAGGCUUGCUUACCAAUAAUCAGCUCAAUAAUGGUUGAAAUCAAGAAAAAAACUUAUCCUCAAAACUGUUUUCUGAAUAUAGAUGUGCCAACAAAUGUUGUCUGUCAUAAGGGUUAUCGGCAAACUAAGCAGGGUAAGAGUAUUGUGAAAAUGGGAUGGAAGCAAGUUACUUCUGAUGCUCAAGGAGGAAAGAUGUUAUCAACGAUGACUAUGGAGAUGAAUUCAUCAUCAAAUUUUGAGUCCAAUGCUUCAAGUGCACCACACGACCAUCUUCUGUUCAAGAGACAACUUAGGGGAUCACACGUGGAAGACGGAGAUACAGAUUACUGUUCCCUUCAAGAAGGAUAUAUAACUAUUACUCCUCUAGGUGCCUUGUCUCAUGCAGAGUUAGACGCUGAAGCAUACUUUAAAGAAUGGCUUCCAGGUGUUACUGAACGGUACUUUUCUUCUGCAUUAUAAUGAUGCUCCAGAGAUAGAUGUUGAUGAGGAUGGCGUUAUUAUCCCUGUAUGGUAAUAGUCAAUGAUCUUGCAUUUUGAUGUACUUUCAUGAGACGAAUCCAGAGCUUCUUCAGUGGAGAGAACAGGGACUGCAGCCACCUCAUUUGGAGAAUAGAGUGUGGCUCAUGGUAGGUGAAAGGAUGGAGGGAAAUAAGAGAAAAAAAACUGCUAGUUUGCUUAGACAAGGGUGAAGUUUGGGUGAAGUUAAGGUCACAAUUUAAUAAAUAUUUUACAUUCCCUAGCAGACUAAACAUGCAUGUCAAGUUUUGUGCUUGGUAAAAUGUCUCUUUGUAGCUUUUCUUCUUGUAGUUAAAGUGAUUGCUCUACCAAUCACCUGUUUUUUUUACACUUAAAUUCAUGUCAAUUAUCCUUCUUCACACUUGUCCCUUUCAUUAUUGUUAGGGUUCUGGAAUACUGUUUUUAGGGAUUCUUAAGAUUUAAACAUUUCCUUUUC